RNAcentral lists this ribosomal RNA (303 nucleotides) under uncultured bacterium. RNAcentral describes it as "partial 16S ribosomal RNA". It matches the Rfam family "Bacterial small subunit ribosomal RNA", at positions 507 to 807 of the family's 1533-position model. The record is from RNAcentral.
AGCAGUAGCCGCGGGAAAACGGAGGGGGCUAGCGUUGUUCGGGAUUACUGGGCGUAAAGCGCACGUAGGCGGCUUGGUAAGUUAGAGGUGAAAGCCUGGAGCUCAACUCCAGAAUUGCCCUUAAGACUGCCGAGCUAGCAGGUGAGAGAGGUAAGUGGAAUUCCGAGUGUAGAGGUGAAAUUCGUAGAUAUUCGGAAGAACACCAGUGGCGAAGGCGGCUCACUGGACUGGUAUUGACGCUGAGGUGCGAAAGCGUGGGGAGCAAACAGGAUUAGAUACCCCCGUAGUCCCUGUCUCUUAUAC